Molecule: ribosomal RNA, 466 nt
Filed under: uncultured bacterium
Lineage: Bacteria
Description: partial 16S ribosomal RNA
Rfam family: Bacterial small subunit ribosomal RNA
Source: RNAcentral
GACGAACGCUGGCGGCGUGCUUAACACAUGCAAGUCGAACGGAAAGGCCCUGCUUGCAGGGUACUCGAGUGGCGAACGGGUGAGUAACACGUGGGUGAUCUGCCCUGCACUUCGGGAUAAGCUUGGGAAACUGGGUCUAAUACCGGAUAGGAGCCAUCUUUAGUGUGGUGGUUGGAAAGUUUUUUCGGUGUAGGAUGAGCUCGCGGCCUAUCAGCUUGUUGGUGGGGUAAUGGCCUACCAAGGCGGCGACGGGGAGCCGGCCUGAGAGGGUGUACGGCCACAUUGGGACUGAGAUACGGCCCAGACUCCUACGGGAGGCAGCAGUGGGGAAUAUUGCACAAUGGGCGCAAGCCUGAUGCAGCGACGCCGCGUGGGGGAUGAAGGCCUUCGGGUUGUAAACUCCUUUCGCUAGGGACGAAGCUUUUUUGUGACGGUACCUAGAUAAGAAGCACCGGCUAACUACGUG